GAGUUUGAUCCUGGCUCAGAUUGAACGCUGGCGGCAGGCCUAACACAUGCAAGUCGAACGGUAACAUUUCUAGCUUGCUAGAAGAUGACGAGUGGCGGACGGGUGAGUAAUGCUUGGGAACUUGCCUUUGCGAGGGGGAUAACAGUUGGAAACGACUGCUAAUACCGCAUAAUGUCUUCGGACCAAACGGGGCUUUUAGCUCCGGCGCAAAGAGAGGCCCAAGUGAGAUUAGCUAGUUGGUAAGGUAACGGCUUACCAAGGCGACGAUCUCUAGCUGUCCUGAGAGGAAGAUCAGCCACACUGGGACUGAGACACGGCCCAGACUCCUACGGGAGGCAGCAGUGGGGAAUAUUGCACAAUGGGGGAAACCCUGAUGCAGCCAUGCCGCGUGUGUGAAGAAGGCCUUCGGGUUGUAAAGCACUUUCAGUUGUGAGGAAAAGUUAGUAGUUAAUACCUGCUAGCCGUGACGUUAACAACAGAAGAAGCACCGGCUAACUCCGUGCCAGCAGCCGCGGUAAUACGGAGGGUGCGAGCGUUAAUCGGAAUUACUGGGCGUAAAGCGCACGCAGGCGGUUUGUUAAGCUAGAUGUGAAAGCCCCGGGCUCAACCUGGGAUGGUCAUUUAGAACUGGCAGACUAGAGUCUUGGAGGGGGGAGUGGAAUUCCAGGUGUAGCGGUGAAAUGCGUAGAUAUCUGGAGGAACAUCAGUGGCGAAGGCGACUCCCUGGCCAAAGACUGACGCUCAUGUGCGAAAGUGUGGGUAGCGAACAGGAUUAGAUACCCUGGUAGUCCACACCGUAAACGCUGUCUACUAGCUGUGUGUGCCUUUAAGGCGUGCGUAGCGAAGCUAACGCGCUAAGUAGACCGCCUGGGGAGUACGGCCGCAAGGUUAAAACUCAAAUGAAUUGACGGGGGCCCGCACAAGCGGUGGAGCAUGUGGUUUAAUUCGAUGCAACGCGAGGAACCUUACCUACACUUGACAUGCUGAGAAGUUACUAGAGAUAGUUUCGUGCCUUCGGGAACUCAGACACAGGUGCUGCAUGGCUGUCGUCAGCUCGUGUCGUGAGAUGUUGGGUUAAGUC
Molecule: ribosomal RNA, 1081 nt
Filed under: uncultured Gammaproteobacteria bacterium
Lineage: Bacteria; Pseudomonadati; Pseudomonadota; Gammaproteobacteria
Description: bacterial SSU rRNA
Rfam family: Bacterial small subunit ribosomal RNA
Source: RNAcentral